Molecule: ribosomal RNA, 497 nt
Filed under: uncultured bacterium
Lineage: Bacteria
Description: partial 16S ribosomal RNA
Rfam family: Bacterial small subunit ribosomal RNA
Source: RNAcentral
GAUGAACGCUGGCGGCGUGCCUAAUACAUGCAAGUCGAGCGAACAGACCAGGGCUUGGCUUGCUGGACGUUAGCCGCGGGGGUGUGAGUAACAUGUGCAUAACCCACCUAUUAGACGGUGAUAACUGCGAGAAACCGCAACUAAUACCGGAGAAUAUAUUGAACAGCAUGGGUCAAUAGUGAGAAACGGGGUUGCGGUCGCGUAUAGAGGGAACCGCGCCGCUGGAGCGAGUAGGUAAGGUAACGGCUUACCAAGGCAACGAUGCGUAGCCGAACUGAGAGGGUGAUCGGCCACACUGGAAGUGAGACACGGUACAGACUCCUACGGGCGGGAGCCGUAGGGAAUCUUGCGCAAUGGGCGAAAGACUGACGGAGCAGCGCCGCGUGAGUAAUGAACGUCUUCGGAUCGUAAAACUCUGUUAUUGGGGAAGAACAAAUGUGUAAGUAACUAUGCACGACUGGACGGUACCUAACCAGAAAGCCGCGGCUAACUAAGUG